This is a long non-coding RNA of Felis catus (domestic cat), 652 nucleotides long. RefSeq lists it as uncharacterized. The record is from RefSeq and is a predicted model, not a curated record. Lineage: Eukaryota; Metazoa; Chordata; Mammalia; Carnivora; Felidae. The transcript is spliced from 4 exons.
GAAGUCUCAAUUAGAAUCAGGACUUCUAGGUUGCCAGGGGCUGGUGAGAGAGGAAAAUGAGGAGAUGUUGGUUAAAGGCUACAAACUUCCAGUUUGAAGAGGAAUACGUUCUGGGGAUGUAAGGUCUCUACCUCCAGAAAUCAAUGUGAAACUGAAGCUGGUAAUAUUUAGCCCAGCAGAGCAGAGCCGAGAGUCACAAUAAGAUUUGUGGGAACAGAGUCCAACCAAGAAACUGAAGACCCUAGAAUCCAAUCUUAUCCCUGACACUAAGUAGCUGAUUAGGACCCCCAGAUAUCCAUCUGAAAUGAACCAAGAAGAACAUCACCAAAAUCAGUAUGUUGAUUACUCCAGGAGAUGACAUGGGAGAUGGGAGAGGGAAGAACACACAGGGAAAACUCCUUGAGCACCGCCUCAGCCCUUAUUAUAGAAGUCCUGCUUUGUAAUGGAGUCAUUAUCUUUCUGAGGACUGAGUAAGAGAAAGUGUUCCUUCUUUUUUGUAUUGAAGUGCCUGCUCCUUGACUCAGUUAUUAAAAUGAGGGAGCAAAUAGCUCCUUGUUCUAAUUUUCCUUAUCAGCCUCCACAGGGCCCAUUUCAGGCUGUCUGUGAAGUGUUAGAAUGCAAUUGUGUGCUUGAAUAAAAAGGAGAAACUGAA